Molecule: small RNA, 96 nt
Filed under: Escherichia coli
Lineage: Bacteria; Pseudomonadati; Pseudomonadota; Gammaproteobacteria; Enterobacterales; Enterobacteriaceae
Description: partial RtT sRNA
Rfam family: RtT RNA
About the family: This family represents a bacterial cis-regulatory element known as RtT RNA. The exact function of RtT is unknown although it is thought that it may be involved in changing the cellular response in relation to amino acid starvation.
Source: RNAcentral
CAAGGUUUGACUUGAGCGCCAGCGAGAGAGCGUUGCCGCAGGCAACGACCCGAAGGGCGAAGCGUGCAGCGCUGAGUAAUCCUUCCCCCACCACCA